Molecule: regulatory RNA element, 83 nt
Organism: Clostridium saccharobutylicum DSM 13864
Lineage: Bacteria; Bacillati; Bacillota; Clostridia; Eubacteriales; Clostridiaceae
Rfam family: pan motif
Source: Rfam
AGGGUAGUAUCAAUAGAACUAUACCAGACAUUUUAGCAUAAAUUAUUUAAUACAACUCAUAUCUAUAUGAAUGAGAUUGAAAU